RNAcentral lists this ribosomal RNA (1278 nucleotides) under metagenome. RNAcentral describes it as "bacterial SSU rRNA". It matches the Rfam family "Bacterial small subunit ribosomal RNA", at positions 202 to 1475 of the family's 1533-position model. The record is from RNAcentral.
CAAGGCCUUGCGCUCUUUGAGCGGCCGAUGUCAGAUUAGCUAGUUGGUGAGGUAAAGGCUUACCAAGGCGACGAUCUGUAGCGGGUCUGAGAGGAUGAUCCGCCACACUGGAACUGAGACACGGUCCAGACUCCUACGGGAGGCAGCAGUGGGGAAUUUUGGACAAUGGGGGCAACCCUGAUCCAGCCAUGCCGCGUGAGUGAAGAAGGCCUUCGGGUUGUAAAGCUCUUUCGGCCGGGAAGAAAUCGCAUGGGCCAAUACCCUGUGUGGAUGACGGUACCGGAAUAAGAAGCACCGGCUAACUACGUGCCAGCAGCCGCGGUAAUACGUAGGGUGCGAGCGUUAAUCGGAAUUACUGGGCGUAAAGCGUGCGCAGGCGGUUUUGUAAGACAGGCGUGAAAUCCCCGGGCUUAACCUGGGAACUGCGUUUGUGACUGCAAGGCUAGAGUACGGCAGAGGGGGGUGGAAUUCCACGUGUAGCAGUGAAAUGCGUAGAGAUGUGGAGGAACACCAAUGGCGAAGGCAGCCCCCUGGGUCGAUACUGACGCUCAUGCACGAAAGCGUGGGUAGCAAACAGGAUUAGAUACCCUGGUAGUCCACGCCCUAAACUAUGUCAACUAGGUGUUGGGUGGGUAAAACCAUUUAGUACCGUAGCUAACGCGUGAAGUUGACCGCCUGGGGAGUACGGCCGCAAGGUUAAAACUCAAAGGAAUUGACGGGGACCCGCACAAGCGGUGGAUGAUGUGGAUUAAUUCGAUGCAACGCGAAAAACCUUACCUACCCUUGACAUGCCAGGAACUUGCCAGAGAUGGCUUGGUGCCCGAAAGGGAGCCUGGACACAGGUGCUGCAUGGCUGUCGUCAGCUCGUGUCGUGAGAUGUUGGGUUAAGUCCCGCAACGAGCGCAACCCUUGUCGUUAAUUGCCAUCAUUUAGUUGGGCACUUUAACGAGACUGCCGGUGACAAACCGGGGGAAGGUGGGGAUGACGUCAAGUCCUCAUGGCCCUUAUGGGUAGGGCUUCACACGUCAUACAAUGGUCGGUACAAAGGGUUGCCAAGCCGCGAGGCGGAGCCAAUCCCAGAAAGCCGAUCGUAGUCCGGAUUGCAGGCUGCAACUCGCCUGCAUGAAGUCGGAAUCGCUAGUAAUCGUGGAUCAGCAUGUCACGGUGAAUACGUUCCCGGGUCUUGUACACACCGCCCGUCACACCAUGGGAGCGGGUUCCGCCAGAAGUAGGUAGCCUAACCGCAAGGGGGGCGCUUACCACGGCGGGGUUCGUGAC